Dicentrarchus labrax (European seabass) is the source of this 1723-nucleotide long non-coding RNA. RefSeq lists it as uncharacterized. The record is from RefSeq and is a predicted model, not a curated record. The transcript has 2 exons. NCBI's taxonomy places the organism in Eukaryota, Metazoa, Chordata, Actinopteri, Moronidae.
AAUCCCUGCGAACAUCCAUAAAGGAAACAGUGAGAGCACAGAAACAAGAGCCUGUUUUAUCGAUCCGCGUGUGACCGACGACCGUUUCCAUCGGAUUCUUUAAGAAGACAAACAUCAGCUGGGAAACAUUUUUGUGUGACCGCCAGUAUUUUCUCGUGAUGACGUUCGGGAGGCUCUGAGAGGUUUUUCACCACGAUGUCUUACCCUUCUGGAGUUUGGACACCAAAUCUACGUAAAGGUCAUCGUUGCUGGAGGACGCGGCCUCGCUCUGCUGGCCGAGGACACGGAUCACGUGAUCGUACAGAGCCAAUCGGUCGGCCACGGUAAGGUCACACAAGGCACGCUUGUGGGUCUGAGGGACGUCGACAGGCUGGCCCGAGUACUGACCUGACGGGGGACCAGAGAGGCUUUACACACAAAUCCACCAGACACAAUGGUUACACGUCACAACAUGUGGACAGUGCAGCUGUUAUUGAAACCAAGUAUAUAGUGUAUUUUUACUCCUUACACAGCACAAAACAUCUCUCAAAAUUCACACAAAAUUGGAUUCUGAGAUUAUAUUUUGGGUGAAAAUGGCUCCAAUUGGAUUAUAUUACCAUUUAAACAAACAAAAAGAGAAAAAGAAACAGUACAGUUAUCGUUAAACAGGCAAACAGUUCAGUGUACCCUUGAUAGUUUCAUUUAGAUUUAGUUUCUAAGCUCCUUUUUUAACUCAGCUGUGCCUUUUAUCUGUUCUGUAUCUCCUCCUAAACUUUAACUGGAAUUAUUCAGAGGACUUCACAGAAGAGGACGUGACAUUCAUAUCUUCUACACUCAGUAUCUCUGAAACUAUUUUAAAAAGUACCACAUAAACAAAGUUUACUUUUAAACACACCAGUGUUAACUGACAAAUGUAUGAAGACUUUCCCCAACACGUAAAGGGAAAAAAGUGUGUGUGUAAGUUAGGGCUGCCCCCGAGUCAUCAGUCGAGAAGACCCUGAGCAUGUGGUCUGUCGAAUCAGAUUUACUGACAGCACUCUGAGUCGAGUUCAGCCCCAGUGUAAGUACUGUGUGUGUGUGUGUGUGUGUGUCCCAGCCCAGCCCUGUGGUUUGAAAGGAUAUGAUGUUAAAGGAUACUGCAACGUAAUCAGGCAAGCCUGAACCAGAGCAGCAGAACUUUCUAGAGCCCAGCUCCUAAUACUCACCCCUGUCGCUGCAAACAGAACACACAACACAGCGAUUACACACGUCAGCAGGAAAACCAGCAGGAAGAUGACUAAUAUAAAGAUAACUGAAUAAAUGGGACUGGUAUUUACUGGGUGAUUGUUAGUGGGGUUAGCACAAGAUAAUCCUCUAGUGACUUCUAGUGGUUUGUCAUUGCAUCUGGAGGGUGAAAUCUCACUGUGUGCCUCUGUUUCUAAUGAAAAGCGGUCCUGUCUCUGGUCAGGGAGGUACAUGUCUAACACAGCAGAGGAAACAGUUUCGGUGUGGACUGCUCCAAAUUAAGCUCACACCUUGCCAGAAGACUCCCUCCAUCCUCAUCAGCGGUGCAGCAGAUCUGGCCUGCAGGAUCACCUGGUGCUGGGUGGGUUUGUCUGCGUGGAGGAGAGGAGAGGACGACAACUGAACACCGGGACAGAAAUGUACGAAGUGUGUUUUCAAGUCAUGGUUGGUCCACACGAUUUCACCUCCGUUUCCUCUCAGGUGGUGUUUCAUCCCGUAAUAAAGACUGAGCAGAACUCUC